Molecule: non-coding RNA, 504 nt
Organism: Pteronotus mesoamericanus
Lineage: Eukaryota; Metazoa; Chordata; Mammalia; Chiroptera; Mormoopidae
Source: the annotation of a RefSeq genome assembly
AUGCUUUCUGUCACCUCUUUCUUUCUUAUGAUCUUAAUAUUCAGAGGGACCAAUGGAGACUCAGUGACCCAGACAGAAGGCCCUGUUACCCUCCUGGAGACGACAACUAUGAUCCUGAACUGCACUUACCAGACCGCUUAUCCAGGUCCUGUCCUUUUCUGGUAUGUCCAGUAUCUCAAUAAAGCUCCCCAACUCCUCCUGAAGAGCUCAACGGACAACCAGAUGACAGAGAAUGAAGGAUUUAAGGCCAAUCUUAUGAAGAGUGACAGCUCCUUCCACCUCGAGAAAUCAUCAGUGCAAAUGUCGGACUCGGCGGUGUACUUCUGUGCUCUGAGUGACACAGUGGGGGAGGCUGCAGGUGGAGCCGAGCGCAAACCCCGAGGGGAGCAGGUGGGGCCUGACUGUGGGCAGCCCUGGGAGGGAGGGUUAUAUCCUCUCCCUAAGCAGUAUUGCUUCUAUGUAGAGAUUCCCCUGGAGAGUGAAGCAAGCUCAAGCAAUUCCUAG